UUGACAACUGGGUUGUUGACUUUAAACCAAGCUCUUGAAUUUAUUUCUUGUGCAUAAAAUUUACAGGAUUUUGUUGUUCGCGAUUAAGGUAUACUUGAACGUACAACAGAGAACUAUUGCUUUUGAUCCAAAAACGAAAUAAUUUCUUGUCCAAUAAUCGACAGAAUGCACAAAUAUCCAUUCAUUCACUUACAAGAAUUAGGUUAAUCAAAAGAUUUUUAAAAAAAUAACAUAUACAAUCAAUGAAUCAAAUAGACAAUAAUGGAAUCUCUAGAUACUAUACAGGACUAAACUGGAUUAGAUUGACCUUGUCCUAGAGUUCUGAACAAAAUACACAAUAGCUUGGAUUGUACAUAUGGAUACUAACAAAUGGAGUACUAUAACGAUAAAGCUAAAAAUCAAAGAAUUCUAACAAUUCUGUUCACUGGAAGAAGCUUUAUUCCCCAACACAUCAUCGUUCGAUGUGUUCAAAUUCCGUCUUUUGCACUGCCACACCACAACUGCA
This 505-nucleotide long non-coding RNA is filed under the name Solanum tuberosum (potato). RNAcentral's name for it is "long non-coding RNA (STUB_LNC000831)". The record is from RNAcentral. Lineage: Eukaryota; Viridiplantae; Streptophyta; Magnoliopsida; Solanales; Solanaceae.